UGGGGAAUAUUGCACAAUGGGCGCAAGCCUGAUGCAGCCAUGCCGCGUGUAUGAAGAAGGUCUUCGGGUUGUAAAGUACUUUCAGUCGGGAGGCAGGUGGUAAGGUUAAUAACCUUUGCUCAUUGACGUUACCCGCAGAAGAAGCACCGGCUAACUCCGUGCCAGCAGCCGCGGUAAUACGGAGGGUGCAAGCGUUAAUCGGAAUUACUGGGCGUAAAGCGCACGCAGGCGGUUUGUUAAGUCAGAUGUGAAAUCCCCGGGUUCAACCUGGUAACUGCAUCUGGUACUGGCAAGCUUGGAUCUCGUAGGCGGGGGUAGAAUUCCAGGUGUUGCGGUGAAAUGCGUAGAGUAUUGGAGGAAUACCGGUGGGGAAGGCGGCCCCCUGGAUGAAGACUGACGCUCAGGUGCGAAAGCGUGGGGAGCAAACAGG
Molecule: ribosomal RNA, 430 nt
Filed under: Chloroflexota bacterium
Lineage: Bacteria; Bacillati; Chloroflexota
Description: Chloroflexi bacterium partial 16S ribosomal RNA
Rfam family: Bacterial small subunit ribosomal RNA
Source: RNAcentral